UUCACAUGUCGCGCUAGAAAACAUCGGGAUGCACAAAAACAUCAAGACAACACCGCCAAGAAGUACAAAAGCAAAACAAACAUUCCACGAAGACUGACCGAACCGAACAGAUUCGCGUACGUGUUGCUUCUCUGCCAGCCAGCUGAUAAAAGUUCCGUUGUUCCCGGUGGUGUGGUCAUAAAGAACCGAAUCGAAUACAUCACAGCUCUCCAAAUGUGAUUUCGGCGGUGGUGUUCUGCCGAUUCUUCGCUUAGUUUUAUUUACUUUUAGUUUGAUAGCGUUUUAUAGGUGAAAGCGGUGGCACAAAUCAUGGAACGCAAUUCCGUCCAAACGGUGACGUUGAUGAACAGCAUCAUCGGCGUCGGAAUCCUCUCGAUGCCGUUCUGCUUCCAGAAGUGUGGAGUUGUACUCUCGCUGGUGCUGCUUCUGCUGAGUACCUACAUCACAAAGUUAGUUUGUAGCUAUAUGAUCAAAUCCGCGAUCAUAGCUCGGAGGAAAAACUUCGAGCAGAUUGCGUUCUGCGCAUUCGGUUCCUGCGGGAAACUACUGGUGGAGCUGUGCGUCGUCGGAUACCUUUUGGGUACCUGCAUCGCUUACUUCGUGGUGGUGGGCGAUCUGGGACCACCGAUUGCGGCCAAGAUGCUUGCGAUCAACGAAAGCAGCACCCUGAGGACGUGGGUGAUGAUCGUCGUGACGGCGGUAUGCAUUAUACCGUUGGGUUUGCUGCGGAACGUGGACAGUCUGUCCACUGUUUGCACCGCUUCGUUGGGAUUUUACGUUUGCCUCAUUCUGAAGGUGAUGGCCGAAUCCAGCGAGCAGAUCAGCAAACCUGGAUGGUUCGACCGGUUGGAUAUGUGGAAGACGGAAGGCAUUCUGCAGUGCCUGCCCAUCAUAAGCAUGGCGUUGUCCUGUCAGAUGCAACUGUUUGAGGUGUACGCCACUAUGCCAACAACAUCGCUAGACAAGAUGAGCCGAGUGAUCCAGAAAUCCACUAGCCUGUGUGCCUGUAUCUAUGCUUUGAUCGGAUUCUUCGGUUACGUAGCCUUCAAUGGACAUCAAUUUUCCGGUAACAUCUUGGUAAACUUCUCGCCUUCCUACGUAUCGGAUAUCAUCAAGAUCGGGUUCGUGCUUUCGGUGGCAUUCAGUUUCCCGCUGGCGAUCUUUCCCUGUCGGGUCAGCUUGUACUCUUUGCUGUACAAGAAAACCCACUCCGACGCGCACAUGUACAUUCCAGAAUCCAAGUUCCGUCCGCUGACAGUGGCCAUUGUGUGCACCGCACUGGUGCUGGGUUGGAUGGUGCCCUCUAUAGAGGUUGUCAUCGGGCUGGUGGGGUCCACGAUCGGUGUCGCCGUCUGCAUAAUCAUUCCAGCCGCUUGCUACAUGCAUAUCUGCAAAACGAACAUCUCCGAGAAACAGCUGGCCCAAGUGAUGCUCGUAUUUGGCUUUCUGAUCAUGAUUCUUGGUACCUAUGCCAAUCUGGAUGCUAUGAAUCGAGUUCCAGAGAAAAAGUACGAGAAUGUUGUAAAAGACAAGCUUCUUCCCAAUCCGGUGGGUAUUGUAGAGAAACCAGAGGAAACUUUAGAUCGAAAGUUUGAGGAACUGAAACCUAAACUACCGGUUUUACCAGAAGAGAGAAAAGAGGAGCCAAUUGUAACGGAAAAGAUUAUUCCAAAAAUUGAAGAACCGGUCACGAUUAAGCCUGUUAAAAUUGAAGAGCCAGCAAUCAUCAAAGAAAAGGAAGAAAAGACCGACAUUUCUCCAGAUCCGCCCGUGCUUGAUCAAAAGAAGGACAAAAAAGAGGAAAUAAUCGAUCAUGAUGCGAUUCUCAAAGAAGAGAAAGAAAUCGCCGUCGAGGAGAAGGAGCAAAUACAAAAGGAGAUCAUCGAGUUGCAAAGCGCCAAAAAGGAGCUUGAAGCUCAAGUUGAAAACAUCAAAGAACAACUCGUGAAGAAAAACGAGGAAACCCAACAGUUGGUGCUGAAAAAGUUUGACGAAAUUGUCGAGAAAAUCGACCAGAAAGUGUCCAAAGAAAAUGAUGAAGUCAAACCGGAACCAGCUAAAGAAGCUUCUCCGGAUGCUCAGAAAGACCCCAUCGUUCGAUUACUUACCGAACAGGGAAAACUAAAUGCCAAAGCAAACGAAUCUACAAAGUCAGAACCGGCAAAGCCGGAAGUUGAGGUGAAAGACGAUCAUGCACAAGAGAUUAAGUUGCCAGUCGACGAAGUUGCAAACAAUGAAACCACCAAUGAAACGGAACCACCGCCCCUAGAAAAUCAUCAUAAAGAAGAGGAGAAGGGUGAACCGCUUCCACCGCUGCCGGUGGAGCAGAAGAAAGAACCGGAAUCGCCGAAACCGGUCGUGCCAGAAGAGUCAAAACCAGCCAAAUCCGACGAUGCCGCCAAAGAAAGCGACGAUGCUGGCUCGAAGAGAGAUCUACUCUCGUUGCGCAAUAAGAGAAAUAUCGCUGAGAAUGAGGUCAAUAAAACACAUGCUUUCAGCUAAAAGAGCUUCGUGCCUACAUCUAUUGGUUCCGGUUCGUCCCUUUCGAACUGCUUCAAGUCAUCUUCCCAUCAACAGAGAUAUAUGCAGUCGGAUGCUUCGCAAGUGGCAUCGAAAAGAUAUUCCACUAGAAACGUCUAUUCCAAGUGAUCAGCUGAGAAUAGCUUUUAUGGACAGUCAGUGUAAAUAGGACGCUUGAGUCAGAGUCGACACUCAUCAUUGGAGGAUGCAGAUAUGAAUUGGCAAUGUCCCACGAAAAUUUUCAGGAAAUCUGUCAAACCAUCAUCUAUUUAUUCGCUCAACGGUAGUGGAAAGCGACUCGUAACAAGUCCGUGUACAAAUCCAGCCAGAUUAACCCUCGUUUGAUUGAUGGAAAACGGAGAAACAGCUCGGACCGGCUGAUGGCCAUGUUCAAACAUUCCACCCAAGGAAAGUGCGUAACAGUUCUACGUGCCAUUCAUUAUCUCUCAGCGUGCCCUCCUGUCGCGUCGCCACCCACACGCCACGUUACCUACCAGAAGACCGAUGAAAAGUAGCCCGAAAAACAUUAUGUAAGUAUACGGAAUUAAUCUUGCUUUCCCUUCUCACACACAUGCCGAUCGAUCGAAUCGCAGUAGGCGAUGGUUUUCGUUGAACAGACGAAGUAGUUUUAUUUGACCAUUAAAAGCAAUACUGUCCUACGUUGCAAAACCUCGACUUAGGUUCAAAGCUUUUUUUUACCUAAGUGAUCCAUAUUUUAUGGAGCGUGAACCUUUAAAAAUCCAUAUGGGACCGACAUCCCUUCAAGGGCUAGUCGUCCGGAGCUGUUCUAAGAAGGUACAUGGUAUUUUGGUGGACCACCAGUCAGCACAGCAGCAGGUGGAAACGGAAGGAGAAUUUGUUUGGUGCGUCCGUCGCCUCCUGCUGACGGUUUUUAUGGCUACUUAAAAAAUAAUCGUAGCCUGCUUCGGUAGCCGCCAUUUGGGAUUUUCGGUUGGUCUGUCGGAAAACAAUGCAAUGUGCGCAGGAUGUGAGGUAGUUGUUUUUGCUGGCUAUCGCCCCGGGGGAGGAAAGUGUAUGUUUGGUACGGUUUUCAUUGUUGUGGCAAAAACAGGCCCAGCAGAAUUACUCGAACAUAAAGAUUCAAUGAAAAGCAUGUUGUUUUGGGAUACGCAACUUGUGUUGCUAGGAAGUAGAUUGAUAACAUAGAGGACGGUUAGAAUGGGAAGUUGCCGAUAAAAAUACUUCAGCAAGUCGUAAAAAAACGGCAUUCCCAAAAGGGAUCCGUAUCGUAAUCCAUUUCAGUGUCAAUAAAGUCUCAAAAAGUUUCCCAUCAACUCCGAUAUUGUAAAAGUCAUUCCCAAUUCAGCUUUUUAAAGUUUUUCGAUUAUUCUCACCCGCGCUUCCCAUCGGACUUCCAGCCUUGUCGACCUCCACGUUUUUGAUAGGACUCAUAAAUCACAGUAAUUUUGGUCAGCUUUCUUACGAACACAAGCAAAUAAAGUUGUACCUUUCCCUUUGACGAGAAUUUUACUCAGCAGGGGUGGUUCAUUUUCAACAUCUUAUCGAUUUUCACUAAUUACACCCCUUUUUUGUAAUCCCGUAAGCCGAGGCCGCUAGCGAUUUUCGAAACAGCUGAAAGUUUAAACCGAACACAGGAGACACAGGAGAGGUAAUUACUGUUUUUCGAAUAAGUUAUGUCCUUCCUCGCUAAAACUGAAAUAGGGAAGGAAGCGAGGAUAACGAUCCCUAAUUGAGCACAAACGAAGUUCGCGGGUAAUGUUCGAAACAAAAAAAAACGUGUUUAUUGCUGU
This is an RNA transcript of Aedes albopictus (Asian tiger mosquito), 4292 nucleotides long. It is a transcript of the gene named putative sodium-coupled neutral amino acid transporter 10, with no coding region annotated. Lineage: Eukaryota; Metazoa; Arthropoda; Insecta; Diptera; Culicidae. The transcript is spliced from 9 exons. The record is from RefSeq and is a predicted model, not a curated record.